Molecule: transfer RNA, 74 nt
Filed under: Candidatus Omnitrophota bacterium
Lineage: Bacteria; Pseudomonadati; Candidatus Omnitrophota
Description: tRNA-Gln
Rfam family: tRNA
About the family: Transfer RNA (tRNA) molecules are approximately 80 nucleotides in length. Their secondary structure includes four short double-helical elements and three loops (D, anti-codon, and T loops).
Source: RNAcentral
UGGCGGAUGGUGUAACGGUAGCACUACAGACUCUGGAUCUGUUAGUCUAGGUUCAAAUCCUAGUCCGCCAACCA